RNAcentral lists this ribosomal RNA (105 nucleotides) under Halorubrum ezzemoulense. RNAcentral also lists the same sequence under 1 other name. The record is from RNAcentral. Lineage: Archaea; Methanobacteriati; Methanobacteriota; Halobacteria; Halobacteriales; Haloferacaceae.
AAAGGCGGCCAGAGCGGUGGGGACACACCCGUACCCAUUCCGAACACGGAAGUUAAGCCCACCAGCGUACCGUGAAGUACUGGAGUGAGCGAUCCUCUGGGAACC